GAUGAAGAACGUAGCGAAAUGCGAUAAGUAAUGUGAAUUGCAGAAUUCAGUGAAUCAUCGAAUCUUUGAACGCAUCUUGCGCUCCUUGGUAUUCUGAGGAGCAUGCCUGUUUGAGUGUCAUUAAAUUCUCAACUACACUGACUUUGAAUUGGUGUGGCUUGGAUUUGGGGGGAAAAUUGUUGUGGGCUUUUUGUAUAGUCUGCUCCCCUGAAAUUGAUUAGCGGUACCUUUGUGGAACUGUCUACAGGUGUGAUAAUUAUCUACAUCUUAGACAUCUGCUGGAAUGCUGCUCUCUAAACCUUACUUGUAUUGACAAUCUUGACCUCAAAUCAGGUAGGUCUACCCGCUGAACUUAAGCAUAUCAAUAAGCGGAGGA
RNAcentral lists this unclassified non-coding RNA (376 nucleotides) under soil metagenome. Its description in RNAcentral is "partial contains 5.8S ribosomal RNA, internal transcribed spacer 2, and large subunit ribosomal RNA". The stretch from base 1 to 120 matches the Rfam family "5.8S ribosomal RNA", at positions 35 to 154 of the family's 154-position model. The record is from RNAcentral.